UAAGUCGUGAUAAAGUUACAUUUUUUGUGUUUUCGGGAAACGCUUAUAAAGACGUAAUGAUUCUUAAUGUAUACUACAACACAAAGUCUAUCUCAUUUCAACGCUCUUUGGUGGAAAGGCUUCUUUGCCUGACCACGCAACUAUGGAUUUGUAACGAUGACAUCACAAUCACCUGACAACAACGUGAUAGAUAUAGGCUUGAAUAGUCGUCUGUAGCUCAUCGCAUCCGUGCUUAUUUAAUGACACUAACACAGAAGUGGCUCAGUUGUGUAUAAAAACGAUAGGACAAAAGGAGGUUGUACGGAUAUUUUUUGAAGAAACGAUUAUUUAUAAAGCUCAAGUGGAUAAAUCAUUUAAAUAACACAAAAUGAAUAAAUUAGUACACGUAUUCACCCUGGUCCAGCUCUUGUUGUUUGCAAUAAGUGGCUGCCUGUCAUACCCUUCCAUUGAGAUCCGGGAUAGUUACAACAGACAGACCAAGGCUAUCCGACUAGCGAACUGCCAAUUUGAUGACGUACUACACACAAACUGCUAUUCAUGUGCGAGACUUUACGACAGCCACGCCCUGUAUAAAGACUGCUGCCAGGGGGUAGAAACCAUUCUGGCGGAACUAUGCGCGACUGGACUAUGAAAACUCUGGAGCAAACAAAAGUCUGUCUUUCGGAUGGAUGUAAAAAUCAAAAGAACCAUUACGCUUCGAGGCAUCAUUAUGGUUAGCAACUCAUGGACAUUUAAUCAAUUGUAGGAUUUCAAUUAAGAAUCUCAUUUAUCUGUGCUUUACCACAUAAUUGAACGAUAGCGUUGUUCAGGUGUGUGUGAUUUUCUACAAAUUUAUCCUAAGCAAUACCGUGAACAAAUAAUAUACUUUUUCGUUUUGAUUACAUCGCAACCAUGUUAUUUUCAAUAUAAAAACGCUAUUGUACUACAUAUGAUUGAGUUAUGUUUGUGUUGUUUUAUUUAUAGAACAUAAACAUACGUGUAACAAAACAUCUAAUAAUAUAAGGAACUUUUUGGGCUGAAAACAAAUUAAAAUAACACAAUGUAAGGUGUAUUAUUUAGUGAAUGUUUUAAAAAUCUAUAAACAAACAUAAGAUGACUGUAUCAAAAUAUUUUUUCUUCAUAACCAAUAAAGAUGCAUUGUAUU
Molecule: long non-coding RNA, 1144 nt
Organism: Dreissena polymorpha
Lineage: Eukaryota; Metazoa; Mollusca; Bivalvia; Myida; Dreissenidae
Exons: 2
Source: RefSeq, a predicted model, not a curated record